AUAUAUAUAGGCAGGGAAAAUACCACGAUGGCGAAGGUGGUUUUCCCAGGAUGAGGCUUGGCUAUUGCACUCUGAAUGUGCUGACCUCUGCGAUUUCUCCAAAAGUGGGAAACUCAACUGCAGAAUUUGUGGUGCUGGUGGGGGGCGCGCGACACACAC
This is a small nuclear RNA of Sorex araneus (European shrew), 159 nucleotides long. RefSeq annotates it as U1 spliceosomal RNA. NCBI's taxonomy places the organism in Eukaryota, Metazoa, Chordata, Mammalia, Eulipotyphla, Soricidae. The transcript has a single exon. The record is from RefSeq and is a predicted model, not a curated record.